This 2331-nucleotide long non-coding RNA is filed under the name Panax ginseng (ginseng). RNAcentral's name for it is "long non-coding RNA (PGIN_LNC004357)". Lineage: Eukaryota; Viridiplantae; Streptophyta; Magnoliopsida; Apiales; Araliaceae. The record is from RNAcentral.
AAACACAUCCUGUAGUUUGCUAUCCCGAUUGUGUCAACAAUUCCAGUCCGCGGCUUCCUCUGACGCUGUGCUUCUUUGUGUUAAAAUCUCUGGUAAGAUCCCCUAAUCAUGUACCCUAAAUUUUUCAAAUUGAUAAUACUCAGAUUUAUGUUGAUCAUGUUUUUUCCUCUACACAAACUUCAUCUGUUGAUUUGAUGAGUCAUGUAGCUGAAUAAACGUGAUAUACAAGUUCCUGAAUUGAAGAUUGAUUGCUUUGUGGAAAGAAAUAAAUGGGUUUUGAUGGUAACUUUGAGUCUUUGAUGAGAGAGCUUCAAUUUGGACUAGCUCUGUACCCUCGAACUGGAAGCCCCAAAUCUUCUGAAAUCUCUCUCUUUUGGUGCAAUCUGAAAUACCUCUAACGUGCGCAAUCGGCACGCUUUGGGACUACAUAUGGGAGGUUCUGUAGCUCAAAUUCCUUCUUCUUCUAUUUUUUUUACUCGCUAAUUUAACCACUUUCCUAUGUAGUAGUAUAGUUGUUUGCGAAAUUCGUAUAAUAUAAAUAAACCUCCAUUACAAAGUGCCAAUUCUUCAUAUUUUUAUGCUAAUUUAGGAUUUCAGGUAUGGAUUGUGGCUGCAUUUGUUGGGAAAAACACCACCCAAAGACUGUUGUUGUUGAUAAAUUAAAUGAAUAAUAAGUAAAAAAAACAAACAAAGAGACACCAAGAUUAUCAAACCACGAGACACCAAGAAUUUUUACGUGGAAAACCCUCUAAAACUAAGAGGUAAAAACCANNNNNNNNNNNNNNNNNNNNNNNNNNNNNNNNNNNNNNNNNNNNNNNNNNNNNNNNNNNNNNNNNNNNNNNNNNNNNNNNNNNNNNNNNNNNNNNNNNNNUCUCUAAAGGACCUAGAGUUUGCUUAUUUCCAGUUUUAACUUCUGUAAUUCUUCAUUGCAUCAGUAGAAUAACAUUAUUUUGGGUCAAUAGCAACUCAUCUGGAUCCUUUUAUGGAAGAAAUAUAGGUCUCGCGGUUCCUCGAUCUAAAUUGGGAGUUUUGAAAUUCAAUCCACGUUGGGUUUUGGGUUCACUUGAUUCUUUAAAGGUAAACAUACUUAUUGAAUGUUUAUUGGAGUAUGAGGUUGUUCUUUUGCUUCUUGUAUUUACCUCACAUACUUUAAUACUUAUUAAUUAUUGUUAAUGUUUUUGGCAUAGUAAGAAGACUUUAAAAGAAGCAACUUUUUAGUUUGUGGAGAAUGUAACAAGAUGUGUUGAAUCUGCUGAUUAUCCUAUAGUAUGCAAUGAACUUCUAAAUAUAUUUAUGAAUUAUAUGAUAAUGACCCUGAAGUCCACCAUUUAUUCUAAUCUGUUAAAGAGUGUAUUAUGAAUUUAGGUGACCUUUUGGGUUCAGCUAGCAGGAUGCUUGAUUUUAUUUUGUUGUGCACCCAUUUAUACAUGUUAUCUUAUAUCCCGUGUAUAUAUUUUGUGUUAUUUUGUGGCCUGAUUCGUGCCUCCCUUUAUUUCAGUUUUUUGCUCUUACCAGACAUUAAAAUAGACUGCAUAAUAUUGGAAUUAACUUUUCCAACUCAUACCAAUAUCUUUCUAAAGGUUUCAAUUCUUAUCUCUAAAGGACCUAGAGUUUGCUUAUUUCCAGUUUUAACUUCUGUAAUUCUUCAUUGCAUCAGUAGAAUAACAUUAUUUUGGGUCAAUAGCAUCUCAUCUGGAUCCUUUUAUGGAAGAAAUAUAGGUCUCGCGGUUCCUCGAUCUGCUUUAUUUCUGUUACUUCCAAAAUAUCUCCUCUAUCAAAGAUACUGUUCUCAUUAUAAUGAAUGAUUUAUUCUCCAAGUAUAUCCCCAACAAAUAGGGUUGUUGUCAACUUUGUCUUGACAUUGCAGUUUGAAGCACAUAAGACUAUAAGAAGAACAUAUAGUGUAGGGUGUGUGUGUGUGAUGGCUGCAACUAUGGACAACAGCAGAAUACCUCUUCCCUUCCCCCAGAUUUCCCUAUCUACUGAUACACUGCAGCAAUUAUAUGUUAAUUCUACAGUACGUUCUAUGCCCACAUUAUGAAACAACCGCUUUUUUAUAUUGCUCUUCCACAUUUUGCACCUUCUUUUUCUCAUCUUGUAAACCACUGGAACCAUUCGAACUGUGUUCUACCACCAAAUUCUAUGCCUACAAUAUGAAAUAACGGAAUGGAUCCAAUUCCAUAUUGCAACGUUCCUUUAUCAGUAAACUAAUUUGUAGGGUUAGAUUUUGUGCUAUAAAUAUUUCAUUUUAAUUUUCAUGUAGAAGAAGAUACUUAUGUGGCUUCAGCUUGCAUAUUGUCCAAUUAUGAUAAAAACAUUAAAUAUGUAUUG